RNAcentral lists this ribosomal RNA (253 nucleotides) under uncultured bacterium. RNAcentral's name for it is "partial 16S ribosomal RNA". It matches the Rfam family "Bacterial small subunit ribosomal RNA", at positions 524 to 776 of the family's 1533-position model. The record is from RNAcentral.
UACGUAUGGUGCAAGCGUUAUCCGGAAUGACUGGGUGUAAAGGGAGCGUAGACGGUUGUUCAAGUCUGAUGUGAAAGCCCUCGGCUUAACUGGGGGAGUGCAUUGGAAACUGAAGGACUAGAGUAUCGGAGAGGCAAGUGGAAUUCCUAGUGUAGCGGUGAAAUGCGUAGAUAUUAGGAGGAACACCAGUGGCGAAGGCGGCUUGCUGGUCGAAAACUGACGUUGAGGCUCGAAAGCGUGGGGAGCAAACAGG